This 253-nucleotide ribosomal RNA is filed under the name uncultured bacterium. RNAcentral's name for it is "partial 16S ribosomal RNA". It matches the Rfam family "Bacterial small subunit ribosomal RNA", at positions 524 to 776 of the family's 1533-position model. The record is from RNAcentral.
UACGUAGGCAGCAAGCGUUGUUCGGAGUUACUGGGCGUAAAGAGUGCGUAGGCGGUCCUGUAAGUUUGGUGUGAAAUCUCCCGGCUCAACUGGGAGGGUGCGCCGAAGACUGCAGGGCUUGAGUAUGGGAGAGGUAAGCGGAAUUCCUGGUGUAGCGGUGAAAUGCGUAGAUAUCAGGAGGAACACCGGUGGCGAAGGCGGCUUUCUGGACGACAACUGACGCUGAGACGCGAAAGCGUGGGGAGCAAACAGG